Molecule: long non-coding RNA, 11834 nt
Filed under: Lathyrus oleraceus (garden pea)
Lineage: Eukaryota; Viridiplantae; Streptophyta; Magnoliopsida; Fabales; Fabaceae
Description: Pisum sativum (pea) long non-coding RNA (PSAT_LNC010954)
Source: RNAcentral
UCAAAGCUACCAAACCUGCAUUAACAACGUUCUGCAUAAUCAAAACCAUUUUUUUAACCUGCAUAAAAAUCCUGCAAAAAAAAGAACGAUAACAAAAUCGCCAAACGAAAUCCAUAAUAGAAAAAACUAACUUCUAAGCUCAUUCUCAUCACUCUAUAAAUACAAACCUUCACUCUUCACCUAAAUGGAUUUUUUUCGUCUUCAUUCACUCUCUCAACAUCACCUUCAUCAUCUUCUUCAAUAAGUUUCUUUCCCUAACCGCGCCAUUCUUCCUCCACCGUCAACACCGCUUCAACCACCGUGAACUCAAUCCUAAUAACAGAGUAACAAAUCAUAAUCACGCCUGCAGAAUGCUCAAUAAAUCCACAAAAAUUGCAAUAAGAGGACGAAAAUACAUAUAGCAGAAGGAGAGGAUAGCAUAUUGAACAAAAAGCACGAAGGGAGAAAGAGAAGCUCGCGUUCUUCAUCGGCUCGGUGCGAUCUCGGUUGAAGGUAGGUGCUAUUUGGAUUCGAAUUCGAAUUCGGUGUUGCUCUCGUAGUGUUUCCCAGGCAUUCCUCCUCCAUAGGAGGAUCGGAUUUUGGAUCGAUUGGUUUACAUUUCGCAGGAUAUUCCGAUUCGAUUCAGUAGGAAUUAAAAGGGAUUAGUGUUAGAUUUAGGAGUUGAUAAUUUGAGUUGGUGAAGGAGAGGUAAGUGCAAACAUGCUAGAUGGUUCCUAUGGAUUAACAUGGAUGUGAGGGGUACUAAUACCUUCCCCUUGCAUAACCGGCUUCCGAACUUGUUCGUGGUUGCGAUGACCACUCUUUGGGGUUUUCUCGAUAUUUUCCCAUUCCUUUGGAAUAAAUAAAAACCGAUGGUGACUGUAUUUUUCGCGUAGCGGCAACUGAUGACUCUGUUGGGGAUACCUUUCUAAGCAAGUUAAGCCUAAGCUAGGUUGAUUCCUCGCGUGUAUGGGUGCUUAUCCUUUUGAUAUUGCUUGCCUUAUUUGUCGCCUUGUGCUUUAAAUUUUGUAAUCUAUUAUGUGGUUCCACGAUUCAAUGGUAGUGAUGGAUGGUACUCCGGUUGCAAGAAGCCUUGUGGGAAAGACUCUCUACCCGAGUCUAGAGUGCAAACUUGAUAUAGGAGACUUUGAGUAGUAUGGGCCACUGAGGAGAUUUUCUCGUAAGGGUCGAUACAAGAAGCUCGCUUAGAGUAGAUUCUUUUGGAGAUGUUGACGACUAUCAAGCUUUUGACGUAAGCGAUCAAUGUUUUCAUUAGGAUCCAUGACUCUAAGGACCUUCAUAGAACAUUGAACCAUGACCAAUUAAGGUUGAUGGUCACGUAGUACGGGUCCCCGAGAAGCUUUUCUCGCGAGGGUCGGUACGAAGAUCUCACUCAAAGUAGAUUUUCUUGAUGGAUUUGUUGAUCGACAAGCUUUUGUCGUAAGCGGCAAACAGUCAAGGAGGUCCGUGACUUUGAGACCCUUGUCUAGAACCCGAUGUUGAUGGUCGCGUAGUAUGGGUCCCCGAGAAGCCUUUCUCGUGUGGGUCGGUACGAAGAUCUCACCCAGAAGAGGCUCAUUUGAGAGAGUUGAUGACCGACAAGCUUUUGCCGUAAGUGCCAAACAGCCAAAUGAAUCAAUGACUCUAGGGUCCCUAUCUAUAACCCUAGACUACGACCGAUGAGAUCCCUGAUUUGGAAGGCAACCAAUGUUAUCCUCCAUCCGAACCUCGAACUUUUGAAUCCAUGUGCCUGAAUGCCGUUCAUUCAUUCAUUCAUACAUUAAAACAAAAAAUUCGCAUGCAUCCAUACAUCAUUUUGCAUAUCAUUUUCCAAACCAUAACAAAGAAGCUCACCCAUCCUUUGUCCAUAAUCUGUAGUUGAUUUCCCGACACUCAUAUUGGACUUGAAAGAUCAUGGAGCAAAACCAGUUUGCAUCUAAGGCGGAUGUUGAUUUGAUAAAGAACCAGUUGGACCAACUUGUGGAAGCUAUGACAUCCUUGACAAGGAGAGAUGAAAACAUUCAACGGAAUCUAGUCACUGAGAAUGUCAUUCCACCUCAAGUGAACAAUCUUGCUCAAGCUCAGCCUGUGCAGAUCCCUGUGGAGGACCAGAUUAUACAAGAGCGUCUCAUUAUCCAAGACGGACACUCAUCUUGUGAUGCUAUUGAGUAUCAUAGUUUCGCAUUCUCUACACAAAAUUCCCAAGGGGAAGUCCUAGUGAUGAAAAUCAAAGAUCCAUGAGAUGUGGCGGUUGCUGAAAGAUUUCAGGUGUUAGAAGAGAAGCUUAAAGCCAUAGAGAGGCAUGAUGCUUUCGGUCUGAAUGCUUUAGACAUGUGUUUAUUGCCUGGCCUGAUAAUGCCUCCAAAGUUCAAGACACCGGAUUUCGAAAAGUACAAAGGGGAUAGUUGUCCAAAGAAAUAUUUGGUGAUGUUUUGCAGAAAUAUGACUUCCUAUGCUCACAAUGAUGAGCUGAUGAUUCAUUAUUUUCAGGACAGUCUGAGUGGAGCAUCAUUGAGUUGGUACAUGCAGCUAGAAAAGUGUUACAUCCAAUCAUGGUUAGACCUGGCCAACGCCUUUUUGAAGCAAUACGGAUACAAUUUGGAUAUGGCUCCCAAUUGUAUGCAGUUGCAAAGUUUAUCUCAGGAAAGCAACAAAUCCUUCAUAGGAUAUGCCCAAAGAUGGAGAGAGUUAGCCGCUCAAGUUCAACCAUCACUUUUGGAGAAAGAAUUGGUUGAUUUGCUCACGGAUACCUUGCAAGGUCCGUACUACGAAAAGAUGAUAGGUAGUACUUCACCUAAUUUUUCACGCUUGGUAUCAACUGGAAUACGCAUCAAGAGCAUGCUCAAAAGGGGAAAGACCCAAGACGUCUCGAACAUCCAGGCUAGUGAGAGUGAAUCCCUCGUCGGCUCCCAGGAACAAGGGGAGAUGGAAAUUAAUGCAAUCUGGGAAGCCCCACAAGCUGCAUAUCAGAUGCCACUCCCUUCGCAUGGUCAAUCCCCUCGUGAAAACCGAGGAUCUCCUUGGAAUCAAUGACAAGAUCCGCAUCAGCAGCGUCAACACACUCGACAAAAGCCAAGGAAGCUAGUAAGGCAUUUUGAUCCACUUACAAUGCCGUACAGUCAAGUACUAUCGUAUUCGAUCAAAGAUGGAUUGAUAGUGCCGAAGGAACUGCGUCUAGUGAUUCCUCCAUACCCACCAGGCUUUGACGUCAAUGCCUGAUGUGACUUCCAUGCUGGGGCAUUCAACUGAAGACUGUAAAGUGUUGAAAAGCCAGGUAUAGAAAUUCCUCGACUCUAAGAUGUUCUCAUUUGUGCCUCGAGGUCUUCAAAUCAACAACAAUCCUUCGCCUAGUCAUUAAGGUCCAUCAGUGCAUGAUAUUCCUCAUAUUGGUCUCGACGAGUAACUAUGAAGAAGACUAGUCUGACAACAAAGCAAAAGAGGAAAACCUGAUUCCCCAACAUUGGCAAUCCUUAAAUCACAUCAUUACUUUGCAUUUGUAGUUUCUUUGUUGUUAAGUGCUACUUGCUUUAGAACAUUGUUGUUUAUAAAUGGUGGUAUUAAUAAAAUGAGCAUGCAUGUUUUGAACGAGUCCAUUCGUAUUCACUCAUCUUUUCUCAUUUAUUUUCAAAAAAUCACAAAAAUAUCUUUCCAUUUGCUUUAUUAAACUAUUGUUUUAGAGAAUAUUGGAGGGAGGAUGACGAAAACAAGAUAACCAUAAUUGCUGAUGGUAUGCUUUCAGAUAAAACCUUGCUGAUGAUGUACAUACAUUGUUUCAAAUCCCCAAACACUCGAGAGAUAAGGAGUUAAUCCCUAGUUAACCGCUUCGAGCCUGGAAGUAGGUGCUUCUUUCGGAUCUGAAAACCCUUACGCUUAACCAGGGGCAGGAUAGUGUUUGGUUGAUUCGGCUAUGCAUUUGGAUUACAAGAUGAAAUAUCCCGUCUAGGGAUCAAUCACAUGAUGCUCUUCGCACACGUUCCGAAGUGUUGAAUCCAAAAACUAUGAUGUUGGUUCUUCAACAACCAAUGACUUGGUAGUCAUAACCCUUCAGAAAACUUGGAAAAAAAAGGAGAAAGCAAAAGCAAAAACCCGCUAAGUCGGACCCCCAAAGGGGUGACUUAGGCAAAAAUUAGGGUAAUCCUGGUGGACCAAAACUUCGAAAAAAUGGUCCAGGCAAAAAUUAGGGAAAAACAAAAACAAAAAAAUCAAAAGAGGUCGUUAAAUCCUCAAUAAAAGACAAAGCAAGAUUCGGUGACCACUAUAUCAGGAAUCCAAAGGUCACCGACAUCCGUGAAAAAUAAGGUGACUGCCAUUUCAAGCGAACCUUAAAUCAUCAUCUUCAUUCUUACAUCAUCAAACUCUCUUGGAGGACGAAUGGUAUGUUGAAUUAUCUAAAUGUAGGACAUGAGAACAUCACGAAGAAGAGGUGGGUUAAAAUCAAAUUUGAGCCUUAUAUCCUUUGUUUCAAUAACCGUGAACCAGGCCAUGUUACAACCCUAAAAAAACCUAAUUGAAGCAGGGUUUAUUCUGAAAAGCACACUACAUCAAGGUUGCGUAAACCGACUCCUAGAUAUUUUGCUAAUCUUUCGUGUUGAAAUCGUAUUUUCAAUGCAUCUUUCACAUUAGCCAAAUCAACAUUACGUUUGGACUAAUGGUCCAUUUGUCACUUGUCAUUACAAUAAUCUCAAAUAAAUGAUUCUUUUUAAAACUUGCAUGAAUGUCACAUUAAAAUUACCAUUUUUAAAUGAAAAUUUUUAACUGCAAGUUAGUGCUUGACAUCAAUGAAAUUCCAAGGACCGGUUAGAGAGGAGCUUGAACAUUCGUCGAGGCCGAGGCUAUCCCGAAUCGAGACCAUCUCAUAACCCUAGGGAGCUGGGGCAUGGCAUCUAGUGACUGUGUUGAUUUAAGAGUUGGAUAGUCCGAAGCAAAUCUCCAAGCAUCGGUUGAUCAAGGAGACAAAUCAUCAAUACCCAGUUAAUCCGGGGAAAUUCCCUCAAGGGCUCACGCAAGAGCAGACCACUGCAAAUUCACAAACUGGGGAAAAUCAUCUCAGACCAUACCAUGGUAUAAUCCCCCAAGGUUCCUUUUCAAGGAAGAUUCCUUGGAAUACCCUACAAACUGGGGCAGAGCCAGAGCAUAAUCAUCAUGCAUUGUUUACGUCGCUACGCUCAUGCAAUCAUUUGCAAGCCGUCGUGGCAUAUCAGGCAAAGAAGUUGAAGUUCUCUUGGGAACAAAGAUACAACUUCAACUGAGGAUCAAACUUGGGGCACCAAGAGCAUCCGUAUCUAUCCUCCGAUCAUAACAUCUUCAAAUAUCGAGUGUCGGGAAGUCGAAUCCUUUCCCAAACCACAAGUCCAAUCCAUAUUGGCAACUACCAAAAAACCAAAGUCCACUUUGUUGGCAUCAUCACCAAUUCAAAUCCAAUUGAUAUUAGUAUCCAAAAGAUCUCACCUUCAGAAAGAAAGACCAAUCCAAAAACUAAUCACCAGCUCGCAUUUCCAAAUGCAUUGCAUACAACAUACAUGCAUACUUUCCUGUCGAGGUAGGAAAUUCCAUAUCAAAAAAGGAGUUCUCUCGCCGAGACGAGAAGUUUGCAUCAAAUUAACACGCAUCAUAUGCAUACAAAAUCAAACAUUUUCCAUCAACCCUUUGAUGGUGACUAUCUUCCAUCAACCCUUUGAUGAUGUCAUCAACCCUUUGAUGAUGAUAUUACCUAAGCACCUUUUCCAUCAACUCUUUAAUGACGAGAUUCCACUUUCCAUCAACCCUUUGAUGGAGGUAUUCCAUUUUGUCAACCCUUUGACGAUGCCAAAUUAUUUUCCCAUCAAAUCUUUGAUGACGACAAUCCUUUCCCAUCAACUCUUUGAUGACGACAAUCCUUUCCCAUUAACUCUUUGAUGACGAUAGUCCUUCCAUCAACCCUUUGAUGAUGCCGUCAACCCUUUGAUGAUGAUAUUAAUUAGACACCCUUUUUCAUCAACCCUUUGAUGAAGACAUUCCUUUUGCAUCAACCUUUUGACAAGGUUCUUGUUCGUCAACCCUGUGACGAUGACAGUCCAUUUUCCAUCAACUCUUUGAAGACGACACUCCCUUUUUCAUCAACUCUUUGAUGACGACAAUCCUUUCCCAUCAACUCUUUGAUGAUGAUAAUAUUUCCAUCAACCCUUUGAUGACACCGUCAACCCUUUGAUGACGAUAUUACUUAAACACCCUUUUUCAUUUUUGAUGACGACAGUCCUUUCAUCAACCCUUUGAUGACGCCGUCAACCCUUUGAUGAUGACAAUUGUUGGCUCAUCAACCCUUUGAUGAUGACCUUCCUUUUCAGUCAACUCUUUGAAGAGGACAAUUGUUAUUUCAUAAACCUUUAAAGACAUAUCCCCAUAAAAGGCCUUACGAAAAGUCCAACCACACUUGGUGUACCCAAAUACAUCCUGUUGCAUAAACUGCAUCAGUAUCUCGCAUAAAUAAUCAUGCAUUACAUCGCAUCGCACCAUAAAGCGCGUAGCACAUUCCAUCAAGGAGGAGCAUUACACCAUGCAAGAUAAAUAUGCAUAACUGCAUAAAAGUCUUUCUCGAAAGCAUAAAAGAAUCCUCCGUUGAGACAUUCUCCCUCCCCAGUGAGAAUAUUAUCAAGAAACCAUGGAAUGGUAUUCCCCGCAGGUUUUUCGAGAUAUCUCUUUUGUGUUUCCUUUUGCAGAUAUCCUGGGAAUCUUCAACCAGACGCUUACCUUUCGUAAGUGGUCCCCUUCCUUUUGCAUGGGAGGUCCCUCUUUUCCUCUUUCUAUACUCGUCUGUAUUGAUCUUCGACACUCGUCCGUGUUGAUCAUUUCAUUUUCAAUACUCGUCCGUAUUGAUCUCCAGCACUCAUCCGUGUUAUUAUCUUUCUUAAUACUCGUCCAUAUUGAUCUUCAACACUCGUCUGUGUUGGUCUUGAUCUUCAACAUUCGUCUGUGUUGAUUUUCUCUUUCAAUAAUCGUCUAUAUUGAGUGGCAACACUCAUCCGUGUUGACCCCUCCUUCUAAAAUCUUUCUUCAACGCUUGUCCGUGUUGGUCCUUUUUCAAUACUCGUCUGUAUUGGGCAUCGACACUCGUCUGUGUUGGUCCUUUUUCAACACACGUCCUUAUUGACCUUCAACACUCGUCCGUGUUGGUCUUCUUUUUCAAUACUCAUUCGUAUUGAUCCCCAAUGAAUUCGCCAUAUUUUGACACUCGUCCGUGUUGGCCUUCUUUCGAUACUCGUCCGUAUUGAUCUUAACACCCGUCCUUGUUGAUACCUUUUGUUUCUAUACUCGGUUAUUGUGAUCCUUAACGCUUGUCUGUGUUGAUCUUUUAUACUCGUCUGUAUCUAGAUCACAACAUUCGUUUGUGUUAUCCUUUUUCUAACACUCGUUUGUGUUGAUCUCAACGCUCGCCCGUGUUGAUUAAAUCGCUCUCGAUACUCAUUCAUAUUGGUAUCCCUCACUCGUCUAUGUGGACCUUAAAUCUCCUUCUUAACCUUUUGUUAAGGGAUUCUCAUCACCUUUUGUGUGAGAAAUCAUUCCACCUUUUUGUUAACGGUAUCUAGAAAUCUCCAACUCUCUUGCUAAGAAGUUGUUGCUGUCUGUUACGAGAGAAAGUCGCUUCUCAGUUGAGCUACUUGCCUUUAGCAAGAUGGCUCUUUGCCUUUUUAAAGGUAUCUCAUUCCAAUUCUUUUAACUCUGGUACUUGCCUUUCGCAAACACCUCUUUUACCUUCGUGAGAUCCUACGGGAAUACCUCGAUUAUCAAUCUCAAGCCAAAACUCGUUAGUGGAGGCAAAACAAGACAAAGAAUGAAAAAAUAGAGAAAGACACAAAAAAGAGAUCAACGUACAUAACGUGUCGCAUAUAACAUGCAUGACUUUAUAAAGAAUCUCAUUGAAUAACUUUCCAUGAACACCUUGACCUACAUCUCAUUCAUUUCAUUCAUUCUCUACAGGAAAAUUUCUUGGUUAUUUUAGUAUUUAAUCCUCCCCUACCAUGAAUGUUUGAAAGCAGUUGCUAUUCAAACCUUCAGGUCCGAGAAGAUUAAAUAGGGGAAGUUGUCAUACCCCAAAAUUUUCCCUCCUUUUCGCUUUUUCAUCUGACUAUAACUUGAUAUCCGUCUAAUCUCAUUCAUACUCAUUCAUGUGCAUUCAUUCAUUCAUGAUCGAUGUUUGCUGAUAGGUAUCAGGGAUUCAGGGUUUGUGGUUGAUAAAAUCGGAGUUGGGUUGAAGUUUAGGGCAUUUCACAUCAUAUGGAUCAAAAUCCUAAUUCAUGACUUUGAUAGUUAAAGAUCUUAUGUAUGAAUUGUCGAUUGCUCGAUAUUCAUCUUGUUUGAUUCAUGGCAUUGGCACAAGUCGUUGGUUCAGGAUGUUGUGGUCCAUAUUCGUUUGUCCAUGAGAAAAUACACAUUUUUGAUCAAUUGUUGACUUUUUGGUCAACCAGUUUACCAAAGACAACCAUCAACCUCUGAAUUUUUAAUCAUGUGAUCCGUAAUCAUUCCAUCAAUUUCGAAUUAAUUCAGAAAGUUUGGGUGGAUUUUAAAGGUUCAAAUUGAAUUUUAAUUCAAAGCUUGGUCCUUGAGAUUCAAAUCGACUUUUGAGAAUUAUUUUGAUUUCAUAACCAUUUCAUAAUUUUCUUUAGCCAAUUAAAUUUUAGAAAACAUUGUUUUAAUUACAAAUUAAUUUUGACCUUUCUUUUGUUAUUAAAAUUCCUUGAUUUUUAUUAGCAAAUCCAUUUAAAUCCAUUAACUCAUGUCAAUUUCCACAAAUCCAUUUAGAUCCAUUAACCAAAAAAACAAAUAUCCAAUUCAUACUAAUUAUUCAAUAUCCAUUUAUCUAACCCAUCUAUUCAAGACCAUAUCCACUUUUAUUUUAUUUUAAAUCCAAUCCAUUAUUAUCCACAAUUCCCAUUUCAAAUCCAAUCCAAAACCAUAUCCAAUUUUAAUCCAACAAUCCAUUUCAUAAUCAAUUGACAACCAUAAUGUUAAACCAUUUACAUUUAUAAAUCACUUAAAUCCACUUGAUAAAAUCCAUUUACCAUAUCCAAUAACAUCCAAUACAAGAAAAUGAAACAAAAUGGAAAAAAGGGCAGUGGUAAUUGAAAAAAGUUGCAGCCAAAACCUGAUAUAGCCCGUUCAUAAGCUAACGAAGCACAAACUGCCACUCACACCAUUAAGCCAAACUCCAAACGCUGCAAGAAACGAUAAGCCACCUGCAAAAGAAAGAAAAACGCAUUUGCUAAAGAAGCUAAACGGCGCCAAACCAAAACUGAUAAGUGCUUCCAAAAACUGCAGCAUCAAUAACAACAACACUAGCCAUCCCAGCUACAAACCAAGCGUCGGUAAACGCAGCUAACAUCAAACUGCACAACAACAAAGUUGCAGUGAAAAAAAGCAGAAACGGCGACGGAAACAACGCAACACAACUACAAUAAAACUCAAAGCUACCGCCAAACACCGACAAAACAAUGUAGCAAACCAAAAACAAAGCUGAAAUGCAGAAAACAAAUGCUUGCCAAACCUACCCAAACACCGACAAUGUAAAUCAACCACCACCAAAAAGCUGCUACGGCUCAAAGCUACCAAACCUGCAUUAACAAAGUUCUGCAUAUCAAAACCAUUUAUUUAACCUGCAUAAAAAUCCUGCAAAAAAAAGAACGAUAACAAAAUCGCCAAACGAAAUCCAUAACAGAAAAAACUAACUUCUAACCUCACUCUCAUCACUCUAUAAAUACAAACCUUCACUCUUCAUCUAAACGGUUUUUUUUCAUCUUCAUUCACUCUCUCAACAUCACCUUCAUCAUCUUCUUCAAUCAGUUUCUUUCCCUAACCGCAUCAUUCUUCCACCACCGUCAACACCGCUUCAACCACCGUGAACUCAAUCCUAAUAACAGAGUAACGAAUCACAAUCACGUCUGCAGAACGCUCAACAAAUCCACAGAAAUUGCAAUAAUAGGACAAAAAUACAUAUAGAAGAAGGAGAGGAGAGCAUAUUGAAGAAAAAGCACGAAGGGAGAAAAAGAAGCCCACGUUCUUCAUCGACUCGGUGCGAUCUUGGUCGAAGGUAGGUGCUAUUUGGAUUCGAAUUCGGUGUUGCUCUCGUAGUGUUUCCCAGGCAUUCCUCCUCCAUAGGAGGAUAGGAUUUUGGAUCGAUUGGUUUAUAUUUCGUAGGAUAUUUCGAUUCGAUUUGGUAGGAAUUAAAAGGGAUUAGUGUUAUAUUUAGGAGUUGAUAAUUUGAGUUGGUGAAGGAGAGGUAAGCGUAAACAUGCUAGAUGGUUCCCAGGGAUUAACAUGGAUGUGAGGGGUACUAAUACCUUCCCCUUGCAUAACCGACUUCCGAACUUGUUCGUGGUUGCGAUGACCAUUCUUUGGGGUUUUCUCGAUAUUUUCCCAUUCCUUUGGAAUAAAUAAAAAUCGAUGGUGACUCUGUAUUUUUUUCGUAGCGACAGCUGACGACUUUGCUGGGGAUACCUUCCUAAGCAAGUCAAGCCUAAUCUAGGUUGAUUCCUCGCGUGUAUGGGUGCUUAUCCUUUUGAUAUUGCUUGCCUUAUUUGUCGCCUUGUGCUUUAAAUUUUGUAAUCUAUUAUGUGGUUCCACGAUUCGAUGGUAGUGAUGGAUGGUACUUCGAUUGCAAGAAGCCUUGUGGGAAAGACUCUCUACCCGAGUCUAUAGUGCAAACUUGAGAUAGGAGAGGUUGAGUAGUAUGGGCCACUGAGGAGAUUUUCUCGUAAGGGUUGAUACGAGAACCUCGCUUAGAGUAGAUUCUUUUGGAGAUUUUGACGGCCGUCAAGCUUUUGACGUAAGCGAUCAAUGUUUUCAUUAGGAUCCAUGACUCUAAAGACCUUUAUAGAACAUUAAACCUUGACCAAUUAAGAUUGAUGGUCACGUAGUACGGGUCCCCGAGAAGCUUUUCUCGUGAGGGUUGGUACGAAGAUCUCACUCAAAGUAGAUUUUCUUGAUGGAGUUGUCGAUCGGAAAACUUUUGCUGUAAGCGGCAAACAGUCAAGGAGGUUCGUGACUUUGAGACCUUUGUCUAGAACCCGAUGUCGAUGGUCGCGUAGUAUGGGUCCCCGAGAAGCCUUUCUCGUGUGGAUCGGUACGAAGAUCUCACCCAGAAGAGGCUCAUUUGAGGGAGUUAACGACCGACAAGCUUUUUUUGUAAGCUGCUAAACCCGUUCAUAAGCUAACGAAGCACAAGCUACCACUCACACCAUUAAGCCAAACUCCAAACGCUGCAAGAAACGAUGAGCCACCUGCAAAAGAAAGAAAAACUUGUCUGCUAAAGAAGCUAAACGACGCCGAGCCAAAACUGAUAAGUGCUUCCAAAAACUACAGCAUUAAUAAUAACAACACUAGCCAUCGCAGCUACAAACCAAGUGCCGGUAAACGCAACUAACACCAAACUUCACAACAAUAAUUUUGCAGUGAAAAAAGCAGAAAUGACGACGGAAACAACGCAACACAGCUAUAAUAAAACUCAAAGCUACCGCCAAACACCGACAAAAUAAUGUAGUAAACCAAAAACACAGCUGAAAUGUAGAAAACCAACGCUAGCCAAGCCUACCCAAACGCCGACAAUGUAGAUAAACCACCACCAAAAAGCUGCUACGGCUCAAAGCUACCAAACCUGCAUUAACAAAGUUCUGCAUAAUCAAAACCAUUUUUUAACCUGCAGAAAAAAGAACGAUAACAAAAUUGCCAAACGAAAUCCAUAACAGAAAAAAAUAACUUUUAACCUCACUCUCAUCACUCUAUAAAUACAAACCUUUACUCUUCAUCCAAAGGGAUUUUUUUCGUCUUCAUUCGCUCUCUCAACAUCACCUUCAUCAUCUUCUUCAAUCAGUUUCUUUCCCUAACCG